AUAGCACUCUUUUACUGUGAAACUGCGAAUGGCUCAUUAAAUCAGUUAUCGUUUAUUUGAUAGUACCCUACUACAUGGAUACCUGUGGUAAUUCUAGAGCUAAUACAUGCGCAAAACCCCGACUUCGGAAGGGGUGUAUUUAUUAGAUAAAAAACCAAUGCCCUUCGGGGCUCCUUGGUGAUUCAUAAUAACUUCACGAAUCGCAUGGCCUUGCGCCGGCGAUGGUUCAUUCAAAUUUCUGCCCUAUCAACUUUCGAUGGUAGGAUAGUGGCCUACCAUGGUGGCAACGGGUAACGGGGAAUUAGGGUUCGAUUCCGGAGAGGGAGCCUGAGAAACGGCUACCACAUCCAAGGAAGGCAGCAGGCGCGCAAAUUACCCAAUCCCGAUACGGGGAGGUAGUGACAAUAAAUACUGAUACAGGGCUCUUUUGGGUCUUGUAAUUGGAAUGAGAACAAUCUAAAUCCCUUAACGAGGAACAAUUGGAGGGCAAGUCUGGUGCCAGCAGCCGCGGUAAUUCCAGCUCCAAUAGCGUAUAUUAAAGUUGUUGCAGUUAAAAAGCUCGUAGUUGAACCUUGGGCCCGUCCUGCCGGUCCGCCUCACCGCGAGUACUGGUCCGGAUGGGCCUUUCUUUCUGGGGAAUCCCAUGGCCUUCACUGGCUGUGGCGGGGAACCAGGACUUUUACUGUGAAAAAAUUAGAGUGUUCAAAGCAGGCCUUUGCUCGGAUACAUUAGCAUGGAAUAAUAGAAUAGGACGUGCGGUUCUAUUUUGUUGGUUUCUAGGACCGCCGUAAUGAUUAAUAGGGAUAGUCGGGGGCGUCAGUAUUCAGCUGUCAGAGGUGAAAUUCUUGGAUUUGCUGAAGACUAACUACUGCGAAAGCAUUCGCCAAGGAUGUUUUCAUUAAUCAGGGAACGAAAGUUAGGGGAUCGAAGACGAUCAGAUACCGUCGUAGUCUUAACCAUAAACUAUGCCGACUAGGGAUCGGGCGGGGUUUCUAUGAUGACCCGCUCGGCACCUUACGAGAAAUCAAAGUUUUUGG
RNAcentral lists this ribosomal RNA (1037 nucleotides) under Penicillium sp. RNAcentral's name for it is "SSU rRNA". It matches the Rfam family "Eukaryotic small subunit ribosomal RNA", at positions 65 to 1110 of the family's 1831-position model. The record is from RNAcentral. Lineage: Eukaryota; Fungi; Ascomycota; Eurotiomycetes; Eurotiales; Aspergillaceae.